Molecule: ribosomal RNA, 274 nt
Filed under: uncultured bacterium
Lineage: Bacteria
Description: partial 16S ribosomal RNA
Rfam family: Bacterial small subunit ribosomal RNA
Source: RNAcentral
CUACGGAGGGUGCAAGCGUUACUCGGAAUCACUGGGCGUAAAGCGCGCGCAGGCGGCCAUUUAAGUUGGAUGUGAAAGCCUACGGCUCAACCGUAGAACUGCAUCCAAAACUAUUUGGCUAGAGUGUGGGAGAGGAAGAUGGAAUUAGUUGUGUAGGGGUAAAAUCCGUAGAGAUAACUAGGAAUACCAAAAGCGAAGGCAAUCUUCUGGAACACUACUGACGCUGAGGCGCGAAAGCGUGGGGAGCAAACGGGAUUAGAAACCCUAGUAGUCC